AGUAGGUAGUUGCAGAGAGAUGUAUGGGUUAUAGGUGGGUAGUUGUAGGUGGAUGUAUGGGGUUAUAUGUGGGUAGUUGUAGGUGGAUGUAUGGGGUUAUAGGUGGUAAGUUUUAGGUGGAUGUAUGGGGUUGUAGGUGGGUGGCUGUAGGUGGAUGUAUGGGGUUAUAGGUGAGUAGGUGUAGGUGGAUGUAUGGGGUUAUAGGUGGUAAGUUUUAGGUGGAUGUAUGGGGUUGUAGGUGGGUAGGUGUAGGUGGAUGUAUGGGGUUAUAGGUGGUAAGUUUUAGGUGGAUGUAUGGGGUUGUAGGUGGAUAGUUGUAGGUGGAUGUAUGGGGUUGUAGGUGGAUAGUUGUAGGUGGAUGUAUGGGGGUGUAGGUGGAUAGGUGUCGGUGGAUGUAUGGGGUUAUAGGUGGGUAGGUGUAGGUGGAUGUAUGGGGUUAUAGGUGGGUAGGUGUCGGUGGAUGUAUGGGGGUUUAGGUGGGUAAUCGUAGGUGGGAUGUAUGAGGGGUAAGUGAUUGGUUGUGGUGGAUGAUGGUAGAGUGUAGUUGAACUGUGUGGGGCUGUUUGGCCAUUCUGCUGGGCGUAGGGGGAUAUUGGCAUUGCACUGUAAAUUAUAUGGGAUUGCUGGACAUAGCAUACAUCUUACACAAGGUCAUGUCACUGGGUGUAGGGUGAUUUGGACUGUUUGGAUAGGAUUGCUGGGUAUGGUGUACUGCUCUCCUCACACGGCUGAGAACCACUCUCUCUCUCUCUUCAGUAAUGUAAUGAGCGCAGAGCCUC
This is a long non-coding RNA of Clupea harengus (Atlantic herring), 779 nucleotides long. The record is from Ensembl. NCBI's taxonomy places the organism in Eukaryota, Metazoa, Chordata, Actinopteri, Clupeiformes, Clupeidae.